This 222-nucleotide long non-coding RNA is filed under the name Bos taurus (domestic cattle). RNAcentral describes it as "long non-coding RNA NONBTAT000170". Lineage: Eukaryota; Metazoa; Chordata; Mammalia; Artiodactyla; Bovidae. The record is from RNAcentral.
CUUGUUUUAAAAACAAAGGACAGUGCAAAAAAUACUGAUCAUGAUUCUUAUUUUCUGGGGAGAAAAAAAAAAAGCUAAUUAUUGUUAGGUACUGUUGAAUCUAAGCCCUCACUUCAACAGGAGCUAAUUUCAUACCCCUGAGGUAAAAAACUAUCAGUGGUAAAAGUGUGAUGAAUUAGUUCACUGAAGUAGGCACAUCUGUAUUUUCGUGGCUUGUGCGUG